Molecule: small nuclear RNA, 104 nt
Organism: Mesocricetus auratus (golden hamster)
Lineage: Eukaryota; Metazoa; Chordata; Mammalia; Rodentia; Cricetidae
Source: RefSeq, a predicted model, not a curated record
GUCUUUGUUUCAAUGGCACAUAUAUCCAAAUUUGAAUGGUCUAGAGAAUAUUAGCAUGGCCCUUGAACAAGAAUGAACAAAUUAGUGAAAUUUGUCCAUUUCUU